GCAGCGAAAUGCGAAAAGUAGUGUGAAUUGCAGAAUUCAGUGAAUCAUCGAAUCUUUGAACGCACAUUGCGCCCCUUGGUAUUCCAUGGGGCAUGCCUGUUCGAGCGUCAUUUUGUACCCUCAAGCACUGCUUGGUGUUGGGCGUUUGUCCUGCAAAGGACUCGCCUGAAAGCGAUUGGCGGCCAACGUACUGGUGGUAGAGCGCAGCACAAUUUGCGUCUCUCCCUUCUACGUUAGCGUCCAUGAAGCCUUUUUCAAACGUUUGACCUCGGAUCAGGUAGGGAUACCCGCUGAACUUAAGCAUAUCAAUAAGCGGAGGAAAAGAAACCAACAGGGAUUGCCCUAGUAACGGCGAGUGAAGCGGCAUCAGCUCAAAUUUGAAAUCUGGCUCUUUCAGAGUCCGAGUUGUAA
RNAcentral lists this ribosomal RNA (411 nucleotides) under fungal sp. Its description in RNAcentral is "eukaryotic LSU rRNA". The stretch from base 264 to 411 matches the Rfam family "Eukaryotic large subunit ribosomal RNA", at positions 1 to 148 of the family's 3401-position model. The record is from RNAcentral. Lineage: Eukaryota; Fungi.